AGCCCAAAAUGGGGUGUUGACCGUCUCUCUCUCCUCUUCUCGACUCUCUCUCGUCCCUCAUCUCUGUCGCACCGAAGCGCCGCCGUCCGGCCGUCGCUGGCCGAGCAACCCUCAAUCGGCUUGUCUCUCUCUCCUCUCUCUACUGCUACCCAUCAACUUGCCAGGCAUCAUCUAUUCCGUCCGAUCGAAACAAGAACCCUAAAUCUCCAAAACCCAAAUUCCGGCCAAAUCCUUUCCUUCUCCGGUGAGGCCAUGCUUUAAAAAGUGUUCUUGGGUUUUCUGGCGACCUCAUCGAGCUCUGGUGGAACCCAAAAACGUUUUAGUGGCGUCUUGGAAGCAGCAACGGUGUUUAUGGAGGAAGACAGGGAUUGGGUUCUCGGCUGAGGACUGCUAUGCCAUAACCUUGUUGUUAGUUGGUCAUCUAAGGAAAGGAGAAUACAGGGAGGUCAUGUCAAAUUCCGGCAGCAAGCUGCCGGAAUCAGACAAAAUAUUCCAGCGAGGGUAGCAGAAUCCAGCAGAGAGCCGUGGAGGUUAAGGUUUCGUUUGGGGGCAACGCUCGAGGAGUAUUUCGGUUAUUUAUUGGGAAGCUUAUGUCUAAAUUUGUGAGUGGACAUUUUGGUUUUUAAUUAAUAUGCAU
This is an RNA transcript of Fragaria vesca subsp. vesca, 637 nucleotides long. RefSeq lists it as uncharacterized. Lineage: Eukaryota; Viridiplantae; Streptophyta; Magnoliopsida; Rosales; Rosaceae. The record is from RefSeq and is a predicted model, not a curated record. The transcript is spliced from 4 exons.